Molecule: ribosomal RNA, 453 nt
Filed under: Triticum aestivum (bread wheat)
Lineage: Eukaryota; Viridiplantae; Streptophyta; Magnoliopsida; Poales; Poaceae
Description: partial small subunit ribosomal RNA
Source: RNAcentral
AUGGUUCUCAACUACAGUAAGAAACAUUAUAUGAUCCCUCAAAAAAAAAAGAAACAGUAUAUGAUCUGUACCGUACGUACACAGGAUGCUUAUUUUUCAUGUUUUUGUUGUGCCGAUGUGGAAACCAAGGUUCCGGAGCAACCCCUGGAGGGCUUUCCCGAUCCAGACCAUGUCGUUUUCGAACAUACUGGCCGGCCUGUUCGCAGCUUCCUCGUACAAGAUGAUGUCGUCGCCGUUUAUUCCGGCAGAAGCAAGGCCGCCGUUUUGUGCUGCCGCCAUGUUUGCUCUCCUGCGAAGCUCCUCUGGAAUCUUCUCGUCUUUCUGCAAGGUAAACUGCAUCACAAAACAACAUGUAGUGAUCGUUCAAGAUCAAGUUGCCGGGCUGCAGCUAGGAUGAAGCAGUCUUAUGAUCAUAUAUAUAUCAACCAAAUGAGAGUUGGAGAAUCCAUUUGA